This is a long non-coding RNA of Cervus elaphus (red deer), 647 nucleotides long. RefSeq lists it as uncharacterized. The record is from RefSeq and is a predicted model, not a curated record. The transcript has 3 exons. NCBI's taxonomy places the organism in Eukaryota, Metazoa, Chordata, Mammalia, Artiodactyla, Cervidae.
AUGUGCAGAUACGUCGUAUCAGGCUCCUGUUUCCAGAAUUACAGUCUCAAAGCUGUCAGGACUGUUUAAGAGCAGGGAUGAUCGGGAGAUUGUUCGGCAUAUGAAACACCAUUUUCUGAACAUUUAAGCAGAUGAGGAAACUGGCAUUUGAAUUCAGUCUCUUAUCCAUGGACAAUACAGCUAGGAAGUUUAGAUCUCACCACCUUGAAAAUCUGUGAGAGUUGGGAGGGAACUAGCUACUGGAUGGCUCAGGUCUCCUCUCCUACAGCCAGAGUCAGAAGAAGGAUCAGCACAGGAUGUCUAUGGAUCUCCACCAGAGUCUCCUCAGGCUUCAUUCAGCCCAGGCAAGUUUACCGUCACUCCAGUCUUAACAAAUGUGUUCAUGUUCCCAGAAUUCCCUUAGCUGACUGGAGAGGCCUCGGGAUCCCAGCCCAGCGACCUUCACUCAUUGAGCCAAAGGCUAUAUAGGCAGCUCAAGGCUCGCUGGCAUCGCCCUGAAGCUGGCCUUGGCAGAGUGCUGACUUACAGGCAUUCAGAUAAUUCCAUGAUAGUAGCUUGGCCCUUUUGGCUUCUUGGCCAAGCAUAUGCACCAAAUGCCUCAACUAACAACUUCCUUUCCUGCUGGCAGGGUUACCAUGGCAACAACA